RNAcentral lists this ribosomal RNA (427 nucleotides) under uncultured bacterium. Its description in RNAcentral is "partial 16S ribosomal RNA". It matches the Rfam family "Bacterial small subunit ribosomal RNA", at positions 354 to 796 of the family's 1533-position model. The record is from RNAcentral.
GUAGGGAAUAUUGCGCAAUGGACGAAAGUCUGACGCAGCGACGCCGCGUGAGUGAUGAAGGCCUUAGGGUCGUAAAGCUCUGUUGAAUGGGAAGAAAAAAAUGACGGUACCAUUCGAGGAAGGACCGGCUAACUUCGUGCCAGCAGCCGCGGUAAUACGAGGGGUCCAGCGUUGUUCGGAAUCAUUGGGCGUAAAGGGUGUGUAGGUGGCCAUGUAAGUCAGGUGUGAAAGUCCCGGGCUCAAACCGGGAAGUGCACUUGAUACUGCGUGGCUUGAGUACCGAAGAGGGUAGUGGAAUUCCAGGUGUAGUGGUGAAAUACGUAGAUAUCUGGAGGAACACCGGUGGCGAAGGCGGCUACCUGGUCGAGUACUGACACUGAGACACGAAAGCAUGGGGAUCAAACAGGAUUAGAUACCCGGGUAGUCC